UAACAAUAGCAAUGGUAGGUAGAUAUAAGAUUG
Molecule: non-coding RNA, 33 nt
Filed under: Trypanosoma brucei brucei
Lineage: Eukaryota; Euglenozoa; Kinetoplastea; Trypanosomatida; Trypanosomatidae
Source: RNAcentral